Molecule: ribosomal RNA, 253 nt
Filed under: uncultured bacterium
Lineage: Bacteria
Description: partial 16S ribosomal RNA
Rfam family: Bacterial small subunit ribosomal RNA
Source: RNAcentral
UACAGAGGGGGCAAGCGUUGUUCGGAAUUAUUGGGCGUAAAGGGUGCGUAGGCGGUUUGGUAAGUCUUAUGUGAAAUCUACAGGCUCAACUUGUAGUCUGCAUGAGAAACUGCCGGGCUUGAGUAUGGGAGAGGUGAGUGGAAUUCCUGGUGUAGCGGUGAAAUGCGUAGAUAUCAGGAGGAACACCUGUGGCGAAAGCGGCUCACUGGACCAUAACUGACGCUGAUGCACGAAAGCUAGGGGAGCAAACAGG